RNAcentral lists this ribosomal RNA (290 nucleotides) under uncultured bacterium. RNAcentral describes it as "partial 16S ribosomal RNA". It matches the Rfam family "Bacterial small subunit ribosomal RNA", at positions 773 to 1060 of the family's 1533-position model. The record is from RNAcentral.
GUGGAUUAGAUACCCGGGUAGUCCACGCCGUAAACGAUGGGAACCUGACGUCGGUUUGCUCUGCGAAUCGGUGUCGUAGCUAACGCGCUAAGUUCCCCGCCUGGGGAGUACGGCCGCAAGGUUGAAACUCAAAGGAAUUGACGGGGGCCCGCACAAGCGGUGGAGUAUGUGGUUUAAUUCGAUGCAACGCGAAGAACCUUACCUGGGCUUGACAUGCUCGGAAUCCUGCAGAGAUGCGGGAGUGCCCGCAAGGGAACCGAGACACAGGUGCUGCACGGCUGUCGCCAGCU